UACGGGGGGAGCAAGCGUUGUUCGGAAUCACUGGGCGUAAAGGGCGUGUAGGCGGUCAGGUAAGUGGAAUGGGAAACGCCUCGGCUUACCCGAGGACCUGCAUCCCAAACUGCUUGGCUUGAGUAUGGGAGAGGAUGAGGGAAUUCCUGGUGUAGCGGUGAAAUGCGUAGAUAUCUGGAGGAAUACCGGUGGCGAAGGCGGCAUCCUGGACCGACAUUGACGCUGAACGGCGAAAGCUAGGGGAGCAAACGGG
This 253-nucleotide ribosomal RNA is filed under the name uncultured bacterium. RNAcentral's name for it is "partial 16S ribosomal RNA". It matches the Rfam family "Bacterial small subunit ribosomal RNA", at positions 524 to 776 of the family's 1533-position model. The record is from RNAcentral.